RNAcentral lists this ribosomal RNA (275 nucleotides) under uncultured bacterium. RNAcentral describes it as "partial 16S ribosomal RNA". It matches the Rfam family "Bacterial small subunit ribosomal RNA", at positions 1226 to 1500 of the family's 1533-position model. The record is from RNAcentral.
UACAAUGGCGUAAACAAAGGGAGGCGAAGUGGUGACAUGGAGCGAAUCCCAAAAAUAACGUCCCAGUUCGGAUUGUAGUCUGCAACCCGACUACAUGAAGCUGGAAUCGCUAGUAAUCGCGGAUCAGAAUGCCGCGGUGAAUACGUUCCCGGGUCUUGUACACACCGCCCGUCACACCAUGGGAGCCGGUAACGCCCGAAGUCAGUGACCCAACCGUAAGGAGGGAGCUGCCGAAGGCGGGACAGGUAACUGGGGUGAAGUCGUAACAAGGUACC